RNAcentral lists this transfer RNA (73 nucleotides) under Chitinophagaceae bacterium. RNAcentral's name for it is "tRNA-Lys". It matches the Rfam family "tRNA". Rfam says of the family: Transfer RNA (tRNA) molecules are approximately 80 nucleotides in length. RNAcentral also lists the same sequence under 8 other names. Lineage: Bacteria; Pseudomonadati; Bacteroidota; Chitinophagia; Chitinophagales; Chitinophagaceae. The record is from RNAcentral.
GAUCUCGUAGCUCAGCUGGUAGAGCACAACACUUUUAAUGUUGGGGCCCUGGGUUCGAGUCCCAGCGGGAUCA